This 336-nucleotide unclassified non-coding RNA is filed under the name soil metagenome. RNAcentral's name for it is "partial contains 5.8S ribosomal RNA, internal transcribed spacer 2, and large subunit ribosomal RNA". The stretch from base 1 to 120 matches the Rfam family "5.8S ribosomal RNA", at positions 35 to 154 of the family's 154-position model. The record is from RNAcentral.
GAUGAAGAACGCAGCGAAAUGCGAUAAGUAAUGUGAAUUGCAGAAUUCAGUGAACCAUCGAAUCUUUGAACGCACAUUGCGCCCGGCAGUAAUCUGCCGGGCAUGCCUGUCCGAGCGUCAUUUCAACCAUCAAGCCCCCGGCUUGUGUUGGGGACCUGCGGCUGCCGCAGGCCCUGAAAAGCAGUGGCGGGCUCGCUGUCACACCGAGCGUAGUAGCAUACAUCUCGCUCUGGGCGUGCUGCGGGUUCCGGCCGUUAAACCACCUUCAUAACCCAAGGUUGACCUCGGAUCAGGUAGGAAGACCCGCUGAACUUAAGCAUAUCAAUAAGCGGAGGA